AACCUCCGCAAUGUGAGAAAUCGCGACGGGGGGAUCCCAAGUGCCAUUCUUAACGGGACGGCUUUUCAUUAGUGUAAAGAGCUUUUGGAAUAAGAGCUGGGCAAGACCGGUGCCAGCCGCCGCGGUAACACCGGCAGCUCUAGUGGUAGCAAUUUUUAUUGGGCCUAAAGCGUCCGUAGCCGGUUUAAUAAGUCUCUGGUGAAAUCCUGUAGCUUAACUGUGGGAAUUGCUGGAGAUACUAUUAGACUUGAGACCGGGAGAGGUUAGAGGUACUCCCAGGGUAGAGGUGAAAUUCUGUAAUCCUGGGGGGACCGCCUGUUGCGAAGGCGUCUAACUGGAACGGUUCUGACGGUGAGGGACGAAAGUUAGGGGCGCGAACCGGAUUAGAUACCCGGGUAGUCCUAACUGUAAACGAUGCGGACUUGGUGUUGGGGUGGCUUUGAGCUGCUCCAGUGCCGAAGGGAAGCUGUUAAGUCCGCCGCCUGGGAAGUACGGUCGCAAGACUGAAACUUAAGGAAUU
This 520-nucleotide ribosomal RNA is filed under the name uncultured bacterium. RNAcentral describes it as "bacterial SSU rRNA". It matches the Rfam family "Archaeal small subunit ribosomal RNA", at positions 345 to 866 of the family's 1478-position model. The record is from RNAcentral.